GGGGGAUAAAUUAAUAAAGUAUAAAUAAUAAAAAAAUUUUUAAUAUUAAAAUAUUUUAAUGGGGGUUAAAGUAUAUUUAAUAGAAAAAAUAAAAAAAUUUAUAGAAAAUUAGUAUUGUAAAAGAAAUUUGAAAUAUAUUGAAAAUAAAUUUAUUUAAAAGUAAAUUUAAAUUAUUGUAUCUUGUGUAUCAGAGUUUAUUAAUAAUAAUUUUUAUUUAAAAAUUUUCUCGAAUUUAAAAGAGAUAAUUAAUUAUUAAAAUUAAUGUUGUAUAAUUAUUUUAAAUAAUUAAUUGGAAAUGAGAUGUUAAUCGUUUUUAAAUAUAUCUAGUUUUUUUAGAAAAAAAUUUAAUUUUAAAUUUUAAAAAAAGUAUAAUUUUAAUUAAUUAAAAUUAUAUUUUUAAAAUUAAAUAUUUUAGGGGAUAAGCUUUAAAAUAAAUUUUUAUAAUAAAUUUUAACAAUAAUUAAAAUUUUUAAAAUUUAUAUUGUUUAUAAAUUAUAAUUUUUUAUAAAUAAUUUUAAUUAAAUUAAAAUUUUAAAUUUAUUUAAUUUUUUAUUAAAAAAUAUUUUUUAAUAAUUAAAAUUUAGAUAUAAUGAUAAAAUUAGUAUAUAAAUGAAUAAAUAAUAUAGUUUAUUAUUUGAUAAUUUAAUAAAAGGAAUUCGGCAAAAAUUAUAUUCACUUGUUUAUCAAAAACAUGUCUUUUUGGUUAAUAAUUUAAAGUCUAAUCUGCCCACUGAUAAUAUAUUAAAGGGCUGCAGUAUUUUGACUGUACAAAGGUAGCAUAAUCAUUAGUCUCUUAAUUGGUGACUUGUAUGAAAGAUUUGAUGAGAUAUAUACUGUCUCUUUUUAAUUUAUAAAAUUUAAUUUUUUAGUUAAAAAGCUAAAAUAUAUUUAAAAGACGAGAAGACCCUAUAGAGUUUUAUAUUUAAAUAAAUUAAAAUUUUUUAUAAGCUUUAAGAUUUUAAUUUAUAUAAAUAUUUUGUUGGGGUGAUAGAAAAAUUAAAAUAACUUUUUUUAUAAUUUUACAUUAAUAAAUGAAUAAAUGAUCCGUAAUUUACGAUUAUAAGAUAAAAUUACCUUAGGGAUAACAGCGUAAUUUUUUUUUUUAGCUCAAAUAAGAAAAAAAGUUUGCGACCUCGAUGUUGGAUUAAGAUAAAAUUUAAAUGCAAAAGUUUAAAAUUUUUGAUCUGUUCGAUCAUUAAAAUCUUACAUGAUCUGAGUUCAAACCGGUGUAAGCCAGGUUGGUUUCUAUCUUUAGAUUAAUAAAAUAUUUUAGUACGAAAGGAUCAAAUAUUUAAAAUAGUUUUAUUUAAAAGAAUUUUAAUAAUAGUAGAUAUUUUUAAAUAUG
Molecule: ribosomal RNA, 1345 nt
Filed under: Parnassius mercurius
Lineage: Eukaryota; Metazoa; Arthropoda; Insecta; Lepidoptera; Papilionidae
Description: 16S ribosomal RNA
Rfam family: Eukaryotic large subunit ribosomal RNA (bases 1081-1240)
Source: RNAcentral